This 550-nucleotide ribosomal RNA is filed under the name Pseudomonas putida. RNAcentral describes it as "bacterial SSU rRNA". It matches the Rfam family "Bacterial small subunit ribosomal RNA", at positions 195 to 725 of the family's 1533-position model. Lineage: Bacteria; Pseudomonadati; Pseudomonadota; Gammaproteobacteria; Pseudomonadales; Pseudomonadaceae. The record is from RNAcentral.
UACGGGAGAAAGCAGGGGACCUUCGGGCCUUGCGCUAUCAGAUGAGCCUAGGUCGGAUUAGCUAGUAGGUGAGGUAAUGGCUCACCUAGGCGACGAUCCGUAACUGGUCUGAGAGGAUGAUCAGUCACACUGGAACUGAGACACGGUCCAGACUCCUACGGGAGGCAGCAGUGGGGAAUAUUGGACAAUGGGCGAAAGCCUGAUCCAGCCAUGCCGCGUGUGUGAAGAAGGUCUUCGGAUUGUAAAGCACUUUAAGUUGGGAGGAAGGGCAGUAAGCUAAUACCUUGCUGUUUUGACGUUACCGACAGAAUAAGCACCGGCUAACUCUGUGCCAGCAGCCGCGGUAAUACAGAGGGUGCAAGCGUUAAUCGGAAUUACUGGGCGUAAAGCGCGCGUAGGUGGUUCGUUAAGUUGGAUGUGAAAGCCCCGGGCUCAACCUGGGAACUGCAUCCAAAACUGGCGAGCUAGAGUAUGGUAGAGGGUGGGUGGAAUUUCCUGUGUAGCGGUGAAAUGCGUAGAUAUAGGAAGGAACACCAGUGGCGAAGGCGAC